RNAcentral lists this long non-coding RNA (1158 nucleotides) under Anser cygnoides (Swan goose). Its description in RNAcentral is "lncRNA (ENSACDG00005015385.1)". The record is from RNAcentral. Lineage: Eukaryota; Metazoa; Chordata; Aves; Anseriformes; Anatidae.
AUGCAAGGAGAUCCGCUGGCAUUUGGUGCUGACCCUAUUUGCUAUUUGUAUUUGCCCGCAGAUACUGUGCCAACGCUAAAUCCCCCUUCUCUCAGGAAGCCAUUACCAGCGAGGCAAACGGAGGAAAGGUGUGCGCCGGACCCUGCCGGCCGGCCCGGGUCGAAAUCGGCCGUAGCCCAGGUGGGGCCAGCCGCCCGCCGAGCCGCUCCCGGAGCCGCGGUGCACCCGGAGGCCCGGCCCCGAGCCCGGCGGAGCCCCAGGGAAGUCCCGCACCGCCCCGUACCCCACGUCCGAUUGCUCCACCUCGGAGUGAGUAGGAAGGUUCCCUUCAGUAGCCUCAUCUCCAAAUAUUUUUAUUUGCCACCUCCGCUGUUUCCCUCCAGCCGGCACUCCUGGCAGCUGCUGUCAAUUUGCGCGAAAGCACGGCGGGCAGCGGCGCGGGGAACACGCACCUCACCCCGACGGAAGCCGAGGGCAGCGGCAGCGCGACCGUGCCUGGCGGAGCGCGACCGCCGAGCCCCACGCUCGCGCCCCGGGCGGGCACCGACCCUCAUCACGGAAAGCGGAGGCGGGGGCUCCGCGGAGGGACCGGAGCCGUGCGGGGCCGGGGGUGCAGGGCAGGAUGCGUGCAGCCCCGCGCACACGCCGCCCGCGCUCCCGCCGGGGCGGAGCUGCGGCCCUUCGCGAAGCGUGGAGCGCAAGCCGGCUCGGAGCCAGCCGGAGGGUUCGCUGUUCCCACAGCACCCACCUGGGGCCCUGGCGCCCCCCAAAGCCAGGGCCCGGGCGCAGACCGCCCUCCUGGGCUUCGCUGCGGGACCCGCCGGGGCGCCCGGCCCCGGCCGCCCCUCGGUGGCCACGGUAGCGGGGAGCCGAGGCGACGGGCGGCGUCGGGGUGACCCCUGGCCGGCCCCCGCAGCCCUCCUGCUGCCGUUGCCCCUCGGACGUUUCGCAGAAGCUCGGAGCAGGGGUAGCUGCAGCGCGGCCGGUCCCUCGCAGAGGGGCGAGGGGGAAGAAAGGGGCUCUGUCCUCACCGGCGGCGACCGAGGUAGCCGAGAAGCUCCAGCGGGCCCCCUCCGCCCCUCGGCACACGCGUUUCCAUUUGACGGCCCAGGUCUCCUGCCGGAGAGCAGUGUUUAUUCAUUACAUAAACAGAAGUGA